This 85-nucleotide transfer RNA is filed under the name Galdieria phlegrea. RNAcentral describes it as "tRNA-Tyr". It matches the Rfam family "tRNA". From Rfam's summary of the family: Transfer RNA (tRNA) molecules are approximately 80 nucleotides in length. The record is from RNAcentral. Lineage: Eukaryota; Rhodophyta; Bangiophyceae; Galdieriales; Galdieriaceae.
GAGAGUAGAAGCAAAGAGGAGAAAGCUGUCGCACUGUAAAUGCGGAGGAGAAAUCCAAAUGUAGGUUCGAGUCCUAUCUCUCUCA